UACGAAGGGGGCUAGCGUUGUUCGGAAUCACUGGGCGUAAAUGGCGCGUAGGCGGCUUUAUAAGUCGGGGGUGAAAGCCUGUGGCUCAACCACAGAAUUGCCUUCGAUACUGUAGAGCUUGAGACCGGAAGAGGUAAGUGGAACUGCGAGUGUAGAGGUGAAAUUCGUAGAUAUUCGCAAGAACACCAGUGGCGAAGGCGGCUUACUGGUCCGGUUCUGACGCUGAGGCGCGAAAGCGUGGGGAGCAAACAGG
This 253-nucleotide ribosomal RNA is filed under the name uncultured bacterium. RNAcentral describes it as "partial 16S ribosomal RNA". It matches the Rfam family "Bacterial small subunit ribosomal RNA", at positions 524 to 776 of the family's 1533-position model. The record is from RNAcentral.